GAUCCUGGCUCAGGAUGAACGCUAGCGACAGGCUUAACACAUGCAAGUCGAGGGGCAGCACGGGAGUAGCAAUACAACUGGUGGCGACCGGCGCACGGGUGAGUAACGCGUAUGCAACCUACCUAUCAGAGGGGAAUAACCCGGCGAAAGUCGGACUAAUACCGCAUAAAACAGGGGCACCGCAUGGUGAUAUUUGUUAAAGAGAUUCGCUGAUAGAUGGGCAUGCGUUCCAUUAGGUAGUUGGUGAGGUAACGGCUCACCAAGCCGACGAUGGAUAGGGGAACUGAGAGGUUGGUCCCCCACACUGGUACUGAGACACGGACCAGACUCCUACGGGAGGCAGCAGUGAGGAAUAUUGGUCAAUGGGCGGGAGCCUGAACCAGCCAAGUCGCGUGAAGGAAGAAGGAUCUAUGGUUCGUAAACUUCUUUUGCAGGGGAAUAAAGUGCAGGACGUGUCCUGUUUUGUAUGUACCCUGAGAAUAAGGAUCGGCUAACUCCGUGCCAGCCGCGGC
This 512-nucleotide ribosomal RNA is filed under the name uncultured bacterium. RNAcentral's name for it is "bacterial SSU rRNA". It matches the Rfam family "Bacterial small subunit ribosomal RNA", at positions 15 to 518 of the family's 1533-position model. The record is from RNAcentral.